This 1161-nucleotide long non-coding RNA is filed under the name Rattus norvegicus (Norway rat). Its description in RNAcentral is "long non-coding RNA NONRATT011474". Lineage: Eukaryota; Metazoa; Chordata; Mammalia; Rodentia; Muridae. The record is from RNAcentral.
ACAGCCGUCCCUGAAGUGUUCCGUGAUGAUUUGAAUAGAUGUGGUGCAGAUUAGUUACAAUGUACUUCCGAGUACUUAAGAGUUGUUACUGGCAGUGUCUGUGUUAAUCAUGGUCUGAAUUCACUACUGGCAAAGGAUGCUUGCUCACCACACUGACCCAGGCAGUCUUCGAGUAUGAAUUUUCUAAAGGCAAAUGCAUUUGUGCAGACAGAUAUUUUCUGAAACAACUGGCAAUGAGCCAUUUUUAAUAAAUUUCAGUUCACAUUAGAUCUGUAUGAUCUUGAAGACUUAGAAGAUCAGGAAGCCAUAUUAGCGGGAGCCAAAGUUCACCAAAAUUGGAGGAUUUCUCAGCUGUGCUCUAUGCCAACAAUAUUUUGUGUUUUUACUCUGGUUGGCAGGUUUCAACAUUCUUGUUGUUCUGUGGCUCAGUAGAGUGAGCUCAUUUUUAAUGAUAGUUCUUAGCUCUUAAAGUAAACUUCCAGUAUGGAAGACACUGCUGGGCUAAAGUCUCCAGCAUGGCUGAUUGGUGCCUCAGCCCCUUCUGGGUUCUAAGUCUUCAAAGGAGAAGCCGGUUUCUUUGUAGCUUCACACGAUGAAAAUGAACAUGAUUAAGUUUCCAUAUUUCCUUUUAUUUUACAUUCUGCUUUCAUGACCCAUCUUCAGAGACUGACAUUUCUUUGUUACAUUUCUCAAUCUGAUGUGUCUUACUGCUGAAAUACAUGAAAAGUGCCGUUUUUAAUGCGUUCAGAGGUUUGGGUUUUUUGGGGGGGGGGUAUUACUAUCUGUUGGUUCCUUUUGUUUGUUUUGUUUUGUUUUUUUCCCAUAAAGAUUUGGUUGAUUUUUAACCAGAUAAGAUAGUGGAUACCAUGAACUACAUGUGCCUAGCUAAUUGGCAAAUUUAUUGACCAAUAUACUAAGUGCAGCGCCUUAUUUGAGUACCCUUUUUGAGAAGGUAUGAUGAAAAUGGGCGAGCGUGUCAGCAUCUAAUAAUAAUCGUUUUUGGUUUUGGUUCAUGAAGAAUGCUUAGUUUGUUAACCUGUGAUGUUGCCUAGAGCUGUAUUUAUCUGUUUUUAUUUAUACUAGUAUAGUAAAAGCUGCAUAUCAUUACAGUAAAAACGAUUACUGUGAUGAGUUAAGAUCUAUUAAAAUCUCUACUUAAAU